Molecule: ribosomal RNA, 332 nt
Filed under: uncultured Luteibacter sp.
Lineage: Bacteria; Pseudomonadati; Pseudomonadota; Gammaproteobacteria; Lysobacterales; Rhodanobacteraceae
Description: bacterial SSU rRNA
Rfam family: Bacterial small subunit ribosomal RNA
Source: RNAcentral
UGCGUAGGCGGUUGGCUAAGUCAGAUGUGAAAGCCCUGGGCUCAACCUGGGAAUGGCAUUUGAAACUGGCGAGCUAGAGUGUGAUAGAGGAUGGCGGAAUUCCCGGUGUAGCGGUGAAAUGCGUAGAGAUCGGGAGGAACAUCCGUGGCGAAGGCGGCCAUCUGGAUCAACACUGACGCUGAGGCACGAAAGCGUGGGGAGCAAACAGGAUUAGAUACCCUGGUAGUCCACGCCCUAAACGAUGCGAACUGGAUGUUGGUCUCAACUCGGAGAUCAGUGUCGAAGCUAACGCGUUAAGUUCGCCGCCUGGGGAGUACGGUCGCAAGACUGAA